GACGAACGCUGGCGGCGUGCUUAACACAUGCAAGUCGAACGGAAAGGCCCUGCUUUUGUGGGGUGCUCGAGUGGCGAACGGGUGAGUAACACGUGAGUAACCUGCCCUUGACUUUGGGAUAACUUCAGGAAACUGGGGCUAAUACCGGAUAGGAGCUCCUGCUGCAUGGUGGGGGUUGGAAAGUUUCGGCGGUUGGGGAUGGACUCGCGGCUUAUCAGCUUGUUGGUGGGGUAGUGGCUUACCAAGGCUUUGACGGGUAGCCGGCCUGAGAGGGUGACCGGCCACAUUGGGACUGAGAUACGGCCCAGACUCCUACGGGAGGCAGCAGUGGGAAAUAUUGCACGAUGGGCGGAAGCCUGAUGCAGCAACGCCGCGUGCGGGAUGACGGCCUUCGGGUUGUAAACCGCUUUCGCCUGUGACGAAGAGUGAGUGACGGUAAUGGGUAAAGAAGCACCAGCUAACUACGUG
This 468-nucleotide ribosomal RNA is filed under the name uncultured bacterium. RNAcentral describes it as "partial 16S ribosomal RNA". It matches the Rfam family "Bacterial small subunit ribosomal RNA", at positions 28 to 507 of the family's 1533-position model. The record is from RNAcentral.